Molecule: transfer RNA, 89 nt
Filed under: bacterium
Lineage: Bacteria
Also listed under: 1 other name
Description: tRNA-Leu
Rfam family: tRNA
About the family: Transfer RNA (tRNA) molecules are approximately 80 nucleotides in length. Their secondary structure includes four short double-helical elements and three loops (D, anti-codon, and T loops).
Source: RNAcentral
GCCGGAGUGGUGAAACUGGUAGACGCAGGGGACUCAAAAUCCCCCGAGGUUCACGCCUCGUGUCGGUUCGAUUCCGACCUCCGGCACCA